AGUGAACGCUGGCGGUAGGCCUAACACAUGCAAGUCGAACGGCAGCACAGUAAGAGCUUGCUCUUACGGGUGGCGAGUGGCGGACGGGUGAGGAAUACAUCGGAUUCUACUUUUUCGUGGGGGAUAACGUAGGGAAACUUACGCUAAUACCGCAUACGACCUACGGGUGAAAGCAGGGGAUCUUCGGACCUUGCGCGAUUGAAUGAGCCGAUGUCGGAUUAGCUAGUUGGCGGGGUAAAGGCCCACCAAGGCGACGAUCCGUAGCUGGUCUGAGAGGAUGAUCAGCAACACUGGAACUGAGACACGGUCCAGACUCCUACGGGAGGCAGCAGUGGGGAAUAUUGGACAAUGGGCGAAAGCCUGAUCCAGCAAUACCGCGUGGGUGAAGAAGGCCUUCGGGUUGUAAAGCCCUGUUGUUGGGAAAGAAAAGCAGCAGGUUAAUACGCCGCUGUUCUGACGGUACCCAAAGAAUAAGCACCGGCUAACUUCGUG
This 492-nucleotide ribosomal RNA is filed under the name uncultured bacterium. RNAcentral describes it as "partial 16S ribosomal RNA". It matches the Rfam family "Bacterial small subunit ribosomal RNA", at positions 29 to 507 of the family's 1533-position model. The record is from RNAcentral.